GGGCGAUUAGUGUAGUGGUUAUCAUACUUGCCUUCCAAGCAAGUGACAGGGGUUCGAUUCUCCUAUCGCUCA
This 72-nucleotide transfer RNA is filed under the name Blastobotrys adeninivorans. RNAcentral describes it as "tRNA Gly (TCC) score". It matches the Rfam family "tRNA". From Rfam's summary of the family: Transfer RNA (tRNA) molecules are approximately 80 nucleotides in length. Their secondary structure includes four short double-helical elements and three loops (D, anti-codon, and T loops). Further hydrogen bonds mediate the characteristic L-shaped molecular structure. tRNAs have two regions of fundamental functional importance: the anti-codon, which is responsible for specific mRNA codon recognition, and the 3' end, to which the tRNAs corresponding amino acid is attached (by aminoacyl-tRNA synthetases). tRNAs cope with the degeneracy of the genetic code in two manners: having more than one tRNA (with a specific anti-codon) for a particular amino acid; and 'wobble' base-pairing, i.e. permitting non-standard base-pairing at the 3rd anti-codon position. The record is from RNAcentral. Lineage: Eukaryota; Fungi; Ascomycota; Dipodascomycetes; Dipodascales; Trichomonascaceae.